ACGAAGCGGUAAGCGUGCCUAAUACAUGCAAGUCGAGCGAACAGAGAAGGAGCUUGCUCCUUUGACGUUAGCGGCGGACGGGUGAGUAACACGUGGGCAACCUACCUUAUAGUUUGGGAUAACUCCGGGAAACCGGGGCUAAUACCGAAUAAUCUAUUUUACUUCAUGGUGAAAUACUGAAAGACGGUUUCGGCUGUCGCUAUAAGAUGGGCCCGCGGCGCAUUAGCUAGUUGGUGAGGUAACGGCUCACCAAGGCGACGAUGCGUAGCCGACCUGAGAGGGUGAUCGGCCACACUGGGACUGAGACACGGCCCAGACUCCUACGGGAGGCAGCAGUAGGGAAUCUUCCACAAUGGGCGAAAGCCUGAUGGAGCAACGCCGCGUGAGUGAAGAAGGUUUUCGGAUCGUAAAACUCUGUUGUAAGGGAAGAACAAGUACAGUAGUAACUGGCUGUACCUUGACGGUACCUUAUUAGAAAGCCACGGCUAACUACGUGCCAGCAGCCGCGGUAAUAACGUAGGUGGCAAGCGUUGUCCGGAAUUAUUGGGCGUAAAGCGCGCGCCAGGGCGUGUCCUUUAAGUCUUGAUGU
Molecule: ribosomal RNA, 589 nt
Filed under: uncultured bacterium
Lineage: Bacteria
Description: bacterial SSU rRNA
Rfam family: Bacterial small subunit ribosomal RNA
Source: RNAcentral